CAGAGGGGGCGAGCGUUAUUCGGAAUUAUUGGGCGUAAAGGGCGCGUAGGCGGCUUGGCAAGUGGAGGGUGAAAUCCCUCGGCUUAACCGAGGAACUGCCCUCCAAACUGCUUUGCUUGAGGCCGGGAGAGGUGAGUGGAAUUCCCAGUGUAGCGGUGAAAUGCGUAGAUAUUGGGAGGAACACCAGUGGCGAAGGCGGCUCACUGGACCGGUUCUGACGCUGAUGCGCGAAAGCGUGGGGAGCAAACGGGAUUAGAUACCCCGGUAGUCCACGCCGUAAACGAUGAGUGCUUGGUGUAGCGGGUAUCGACCCCUGCUGUGCCGAAGUUAACACAUUAAGCACUCCGCCUGGGGAGUACGGUCGCAAGGCUG
RNAcentral lists this ribosomal RNA (372 nucleotides) under uncultured organism. RNAcentral describes it as "bacterial SSU rRNA". It matches the Rfam family "Bacterial small subunit ribosomal RNA", at positions 526 to 896 of the family's 1533-position model. The record is from RNAcentral.